This 451-nucleotide ribosomal RNA is filed under the name uncultured delta proteobacterium. Its description in RNAcentral is "bacterial SSU rRNA". It matches the Rfam family "Bacterial small subunit ribosomal RNA", at positions 354 to 796 of the family's 1533-position model. RNAcentral also lists the same sequence under 1 other name. The record is from RNAcentral. Lineage: Bacteria; Deltaproteobacteria.
GUGGGGAAUAUUGCGCAAUGGGGGAAACCCUGACGCAGCGACGCCGCGUGGGUGAUGAAGGCCUUCGGGUCGUAAAGCCCUGUCGGAGGGGAAGAAGGACUCUCGUGCAAAUAGUUCGAGGGUUUGACGGUACCCUUAGAGGAAGCACCGGCUAACUCCGUGCCAGCAGCCGCGGUAAUACGGAGGGUGCAAGCGUUGCUCGGAAUUACUGGGCGUAAAGGGCGUGUAGGCGGUUUCGUAUGUCUGGCGUGAAAGCCCCGGGCUCACCUCGGGAAGUGCGUCGGAAACUGCGAGACUAGAGUCCCGGAGAGGGAGGUGGAAUUCCAGGUGUAGCGGUGAAAUGCGUAGAUAUCUGGAAGAACACCGGUGGCGAAAGCGGCCUCCUGGACGGUGACUGACGCUGAGACGCGAAAGCGUGGGGAGCAAACAGGAUUAGAAACCCCAGUAGUCC